AUAAGCUCGAUAUUUAAAGUGGU
Molecule: microRNA, 23 nt
Filed under: Schmidtea mediterranea
Lineage: Eukaryota; Metazoa; Platyhelminthes; Tricladida; Dugesiidae
Description: sme-miR-2169-3p
Source: miRBase by way of RNAcentral